CCCAGGCUGCCAACUGAUCCCUCUCGUGUCUGCAGUAACCCGAAUGUAGUCUAGUAAGGUUUGCUCAAGUGAGAUGGAAAACGAAGAGGUAGGCUCCAAAACAGACUUGCGGUGAGUGUUUUGUAUGACUUGGGGCUUCUAGAACAACCUGUAUUUUUCCAUAAAAUUGAAAUGGGCUUGGUGUCGGUUGUCCCUUACUCUCACCUUGCUGUCACCAGGUCCUCUUCCUUUGCCCAUCUUUAGGGCUCCCCAGUUCUGAUGGGAUCUCAGUGCCACCUUCUGAUCCCACAAAGCUUGGCUCUGUCCUUGGCCUUUUGGGUUCCAGAGCGUUUGCUACAGGUUAUGGAGUGUUUCUCUUCUCUCUCUUCUUGUCUUCCAUGUUGCCCGUUGGCGCCUCGGUGGAGUUUCAGUGACCCAAACGCAGACGGCUCUGCGUUGACCAAGCGUGAUGCCAAGAGAAGAGGUAGGCACCAGAACAGGCUGCUGGUGAGUGCUGUGCAUGACUCGGGGUUCUUAGAACGACUUGCGUUCCUCCCUAACCCGUGUUUUUCAGUACUACUAUUGAGGGUUUUCACUUUGAUUCUAGGAUAGGAGACUCUACCAUCAGAUGGCGUUGCCUGUUCUUCUCUCCCCAGCUUGCAGAGUUGGAUGUGACCUCAGCGUGGAUAAGGGGUAAGUGAUUCCUUCAUCCCGACCAGAAGGUAAUCUCUACUUGUCUUGUGCUGUGCGGAGCAGGUUGCAGUGGAGAAGUGCAGUUGUCCGGGGCGCUGCAAGGACUCUAUUGAGGCAUUUGGUGGACGCCGCAGGAACCCACAGCCAGAGAUGGACGCCAAGACGCACUCCUUCCUCUGUCUGGCAAGCUCUGCUGACCCCUGAGGUUUUUCCCAUGCUUGCAGAGGUCCUACGGGCUUGCUGUUGGUUGUCGCUUGUGCUCACCUUGCUGUCACCGGGUGUUCUUCCUUUACCCAUCUUAGGGCUCCCCAGUUCUGGUGGGAUUUCAGUACCCUCAGCUGAUCCCAGAGUGUAUGGAUUUGUUCUUUUAUCUUCAGAUUUAGUAUGUUUUCCUGCUGUUAUGUGAUGUUUGCCUUAGUUUUUUUAUUUAUUUUUUUUCCCGGGCUGACUAUUGAUACAUCCUCAGUCUGCAAUAAACCAAAUGAUUUCUAGUAAGGUUUUACCAAGUGACAUGGAAAAUGAAGUGGUAUAUUCUAAAACAGGCUUGCAGUGAGUCUGUCGUAUGACUUUGGGUUUCUAGCUUUACCUCUGUUUUUUUGUAAGCCAUUUGGUUCAGUACCUAAUAUGAAAGUUUCUUUCCUUCUGGUAUUGGAGACUAAUCCACCACAUGUUGAUGCUUUCCUGACCUCCUUGAUUGCAGUGUGGGAUGUGCCCUGAUCCUUGGAAAGGGGUGAGUGAUUCCUGCAUCCUCACUAGAAGGUAAUCUCUACUUACUUUUUCUUGUGUCCAUCAGGUGGCGCUGGAGAGUUGUGACCCUGCUGAGCAGUGCAAGGACUCUACUGAGGCUCUUGGUGGACUCAGUAGGAACCCACACCCAUACGUGGAUGCCAAUAUCUAUUCCUUCCUCUGUCUGGCAAGCUCUGGUGUCCCCUGAGGUCAUUCCCAUGCUUGCAGAGGUCCUAUGGUCUUGUUGGUUGUCACUUGUGCUCACUGGGCUUAUCAAGGGUGUUCCUCUUGCUUGACACCACCUUUCCCAUCCUCUAUUUCCAAGCAGGAGCUCCCCUUGGCCUCCACGUCUCGCUCUGGCCAGGCAGAUGUGGUGUGCCAAUGGAUUAAAGCCUUCAGAAUCCAACCAAAAGAAAUGAGGAGAGAGGCUGCCGUGGGUGAGACAGGAGAAGUGCCCCUUUAAGCGGGGGACGCCCUGCUGGCACUGCCUCUCGCAUCCACCAGCAGCACGUUCCUUUUCUCUCCCUGCCCCUGGCGCUUUGCCGUCUCCCGGGGCUCACCAAGUCCAAAUGUUCCUUGAUGGAGACCAACUCCAGCUUGACCAUCACUCACCCCAUCUGUCCCUGCACCAGCUGGCUUAGGGCUCUCCAGUACUGCUGGAUGUCACUGCCUUCUGUUGCUCCCUGUCAACAUGGUGGUGUUCGUUCUUUUUAGGUUCAGUAACGUGUCUUCUUUUUAUGCAGUGUUACUCUUCUCUGUUUUCUUGUGUUUCAUGUUGCCUGUCAAUGCCUCUCUGGAGAUACACUGAAUGAAAUGUAAACUGAUGUUCUUUGACCAAGUGUGAUGGAAAAUGAAGAUGUAGGCUCCACUACAGCUAUCGUAUCCACUGUCCUAGUCGAAGCGGGAAGGACCAUUUUGACUAUUUGUCAACGCCCACAUGGCAAUCUGAAUUUAGGAGCCACUUUCACAGACGCGUCGCUGCAGGGCAAAGAAGGCCUCAAAACUUCAGCGGACCUCUACCCCCUAGAGAGCUCUGAAACUUAGGUUAAGAAUAUAAAUGUCUUAA
Gallus gallus (chicken) is the source of this 2464-nucleotide long non-coding RNA. RefSeq lists it as uncharacterized. The record is from RefSeq and is a predicted model, not a curated record. NCBI's taxonomy places the organism in Eukaryota, Metazoa, Chordata, Aves, Galliformes, Phasianidae. The transcript is spliced from 2 exons.